Molecule: long non-coding RNA, 1240 nt
Filed under: Marmota monax (woodchuck)
Lineage: Eukaryota; Metazoa; Chordata; Mammalia; Rodentia; Sciuridae
Source: RNAcentral
GGCAAGAGCUUGGGAUAAGAAAGUUCCCCAAGGAAACUUAGAAACAAGUCAGGUGACUAACAAUUAGCCAAGGGUGCUCUGGAAGCACAGAUGGGGCUCACCUGAUCUCAAGCAAGCACACAGUGGGUGAUGUGGUCUGUAAAGACCUUCCGGAGGAAGUGACACCUCAUAGAUCAAGAGGAUUGGGCCAGUUGUUGCAGGAAAGUGUGGAAGUGUUGUCUUGCCUGGGGAGUGUCAGCUGGUACCAACACUGCUUGUCCCUUUUCAGGAGAUAAGUCAGGGGUGCAUUGGGGGAGGGGUUUAGCACUCAGCCUCAGAAUGAGGAGCAGGUUAGGGGAAUUUAAGAAUGGGGCAACAUAGGUAGGUGUACUCCUUAGAAAGCUCAUCCCAGCUGCUCUCGGCAGAAAGGAAUGAGGAGAGCAAGGUCAGAAGGUGGGACUAAUUUGCAUGUCCUCUUUCAGUCCUGACAGAAUGGAAGGACUCCGAAGGAGCACUUGGCCUUGUUCACUGAGGAGGGAGCUGGUAAACAAUAGUCGAUUCUGAGGAAAAGCUCAAUCCAGGAUCCACCAGUCCCUCAAGAAAAAGCACACACUGUUGGGCAGGAAAUUGAGUUUCAAUUUAAGAUGAAAAAAGGAAUCACAAGAAAUCGCUGGAGCCUGGGAAAUCGGGUCCCUUUCUUCUGUUUACACGCACUGCUUGCCUAGCAAAGCUUCCACCCGGCAGCCCGCCUUCUCUGCUCCGCCCAGAACAUUCUCCAACUCCCAGGACUCCCAGCAUAGCAGUAGUGUGGCGCCCGGGGGAGUAAACUGAGUCAAUUCUCUGCCUGGGAGGAGCGGACAGGCCGCGCUACCGGGUCAGCUGGACAGACCUGGCAGGCUGCGCCCCCGCGCCGCCCGCGCGCCUCGGCCACCAGCGCUCCGAGGGUCUCUGGAGUAAAGAGCCCAGCUCGCGUCCGGGAGCCGAGAGCCGCCCUGCGCAGGCACCGGCCGCUUCCUCCUUGGGAGGAUGUGAAGGUCCUCAGACACCAGCCCUGACUCUGGCGUUCCUGGAUUUGAAGUGGACAUCAUCCAGACGCCGUCGGUGCGCGGCCGCAGAGCCCUAAUUUUGUGUCUAUUUUUAAAGGAAAAAAGAACUGCAAACAGGUUGUCAUCCGCAGAGAACGCGGGCUGGAGUUCGGACCCACCCCCGGCGGGGCGGGGCGGCAGCCCGGGGACCUGCAGCGCAGGUGGGCGGCGGCCCG